RNAcentral lists this transfer RNA (66 nucleotides) under Nephotettix nigropictus. RNAcentral describes it as "tRNA-Phe". Lineage: Eukaryota; Metazoa; Arthropoda; Insecta; Hemiptera; Cicadellidae. The record is from RNAcentral.
AUUUCUAUAGCUUAUAUAAAUAGAGCAUUUCAGUGAAGUUGAAAGGGAAAUUUUUAUUUAGAAAUA